RNAcentral lists this long non-coding RNA (1158 nucleotides) under Gadus morhua (Atlantic cod). RNAcentral describes it as "lncRNA (ENSGMOG00000027493.1)". The record is from RNAcentral. Lineage: Eukaryota; Metazoa; Chordata; Actinopteri; Gadiformes; Gadidae.
UUUCGCUGGUGUAACCCAGGACAUAUCUCUGUGAAGAAGGCUUCAUGCUGCCGGGACCUAGAGCUACUAGCUGUCAGCCUCCGGCCAUACUAUUUACCGAGGGAGUUUAGUCACGUGAUCGCUGUGUGUGCUUACAUUCCUCCGAGAGCCGACGCAGCCACUGCCUGUGACAAGAUUCACACUGUCACAGCAAGGCUUCAGACUCUACACCCAGAGGCUUUCUUCUUAAUUUCCGGUGAUUUUAACCAUGCCACCCUGGAUUCUACUCUGGCUGUUUUUUAUCAGUUUGUGAACUGCCCAACUAGAAACAACAAGACAAUUGACCUCCUGUAUGCAAAUGUUAGGGAUGCAUACAGGGUCACCCCCCUCCCCCCACUUGGGAAGUCAGACCACAACCUGGUCUACCUGCAGCCACAAUACACCCCCCUAGUGCAGAGGCAGUCUGUCACAACACGCUCCUUGAGGAGAUGGUCUCCUCAAGCAGAGGAUGCCCUCAGAGACUGCUUCCAAACUACAGACUGGAGUGUACUACUAACUACGCACGGUGAGGACAUAGAGGGGCUGACACACUGCCUGACAGACUAUCUAAACUUCUGCACAGAUGUAGUCGCCCCUACUCGGACUGUUCGCUGCUAUCCAAACAACAAGCCUUGGGUGACGUGUGACGUCAAAACUGUCCUUAAUAAGAAGAAGGCAGCCUUCAGGAGCAGGGACAAGGAGGUGAUUAAGACAGCACAGCGUGAGCUGAAACAGUGUUUGAAAGAGGCGAACGAGAGCUACAGGAGAAAGGUGGAGCACAAACUGAUGGAGAACAAUAUGAGGGAGGUCUGGGAUGGUGUGAAAAUCAUCACAGGCCACAAAGCUAAAAACAGUACAGAGGGGGGGACUGUGGAGAGGGCAAACCAGCUUAACAUCUUUUUCAACAGGUUUGACCAACCAUCCCCCCUCCCACCCAGCCAAGGCACCAACAUAAUGGCACCCUCACUUUCACCACCGUCAUUGGAUCCCCCCUUCCCCUCACCAUUGGACACCGCUCUCCACCCCCCUCUUACCAAUCUCUCCUCAAACACCCCAGUGGACCCUCCUCCCUGCAUUAUUGCUGCUGACCAGGUCAGAGGAGAACUGAGGAAGCUCGCCCAAAGAAAGCAGCGGGCCUAG